GGGAAGGUGGCUCAGUGGUAGAGUGCUUGUCUUGCAUGCAUGAGGCCCUGCGCUCAAUUCCUCCCCA
RNAcentral lists this transfer RNA (67 nucleotides) under Dipodomys ordii (Ord's kangaroo rat). It matches the Rfam family "tRNA". Rfam says of the family: Transfer RNA (tRNA) molecules are approximately 80 nucleotides in length. Their secondary structure includes four short double-helical elements and three loops (D, anti-codon, and T loops). Further hydrogen bonds mediate the characteristic L-shaped molecular structure. tRNAs have two regions of fundamental functional importance: the anti-codon, which is responsible for specific mRNA codon recognition, and the 3' end, to which the tRNAs corresponding amino acid is attached (by aminoacyl-tRNA synthetases). tRNAs cope with the degeneracy of the genetic code in two manners: having more than one tRNA (with a specific anti-codon) for a particular amino acid; and 'wobble' base-pairing, i.e. permitting non-standard base-pairing at the 3rd anti-codon position. Lineage: Eukaryota; Metazoa; Chordata; Mammalia; Rodentia; Heteromyidae. The record is from Rfam by way of RNAcentral.